RNAcentral lists this ribosomal RNA (492 nucleotides) under uncultured bacterium. Its description in RNAcentral is "partial 16S ribosomal RNA". It matches the Rfam family "Bacterial small subunit ribosomal RNA", at positions 29 to 507 of the family's 1533-position model. The record is from RNAcentral.
AGUGAACGCUGGCGGUAGGCCUAACACAUGCAAGUCGAACGGCAGCACAGUAAGAGCUUGCUCUUACGGGUGGCGAGUGGCGGACGGGUGAGGAAUACAUCGGAAUCUACUUUUUCGUGGGGGAUAACGUAGGGAAACUUACGCUAAUACCGCAUACGACCUACGGGUGAAAGCAGGGGAUCUUCGGACCUUGCGCGAUUGAAUGAGCCGAUGUCGGAUUAGCUAGUUGGCGGGGUAAAGGCCCACCAAGGCGACGAUCCGUAGCUGGACUGAGAGGAUGAUCAGCCACACUGGAACUGAGACACGGUCCAGACUCCUACGGGAGGCAGCAGUGGGGAAUAUUGGACAAUGGGCGCAAGCCUGAUCCAGCCAUACCGCGUGGGUGAAGAGGGCCUUCGGGUUGUAAAGCCCUUUUGUUGGGAAAGAAAAGCAGCAGGUUAAUACCCCGCUGUUCUGACGGUACCCAAAGAAUAAGCACCGGCUAACUUCGUG